Gasterosteus aculeatus aculeatus (three-spined stickleback) is the source of this 1991-nucleotide long non-coding RNA. The record is from Ensembl. NCBI's taxonomy places the organism in Eukaryota, Metazoa, Chordata, Actinopteri, Perciformes, Gasterosteidae.
GAAACAGGCAUUAACGGGGUGCUCCCUGCCAGAGGGCACAACAUUAAUCUAAUACGUGGACGACAUCCUCCUCACAGCCACUUCAGCGGAAUCCUGUUUGGAAGCAACAGACACCGUCCUACGCCGGUUGGCCAAAACAGGUUUUAAGUGUGGCAGCCUUGGCUCUACCGAGCACCGUGGCUAUUAUUAAGUGCAAAGGACACGAGAACUCCAACAUAAUGGUGGCAAAGGGAAACCAGGCAGCGGACCAACCUGCAAAACAGCCUGCAGGUUACCAAAUGGGCUCCAAAGGGUAAGUGCAGAAGAUGAGGGACAGUUGGGGCCACAACUUAAUGGGGAACGUAUUAAGGAAGCCCAAAAGGGGGCGUCUCCUCAGGAGAAAACGGUGUGGAAGCAAAGGGGGGCUUAAGAGGUUGGAGGCCUCUGGAGGUCCCCUGAGGGUCGCCCAGUUCUGCCGCCGGGCAUCAGAAACAAGUGUUUACAGGAGGCGCAUGGCUCAUGUGGGGCAAACAAAAAUUGGCUAAAAUCUGUGCACAGACAAAUUUUACCUGGGUUCAAGCCCUCCCAUUCUUGUUAAUGGUCAUUAGAAGCUCAGCAAAUCAGGGUACGAACUGACCACCGGGAGACAGUUCCCUGGACCCAGUGCCGGCCUGAAGCUUAGGCCCAACCCGGAAGCUCCACCAGGUGAGUAUGCAUGUCGUAUAACAAUCUACGAGCUCUUGUUUCAGAUUUUGCGGACCAGGUGCGAGACAAAACAGGGGAUCAGAACGCCAACAACCCCCACACAGCAGCCUGGGUCAUCCUGAGGGUCAUUAAGAGAAAGUGGUCAGAGCCUCCAAGGGCGAGUCGUAUUAUGCCUAUUUCUUAAGUCGUGCGUUUUAUGUUUUCGCCAGCAGCGGAACUACUUUAUAGUCACUGUGUAUCUCAUCGUUAUUAGCGAGUAAGUUCUAACAUCGAUCAUAUUCUUUAAGGUUUUUUAGCUGACUCAUAUUUGUUCGGUACACACAGUAUUGCUUAUCUUCCACCCAAUAUCUAACAUGGAUGAUGAUGAAGUAGGUUGUUAAGACGAUACAUUCGUGACACUCAUUCUAACACUUUAUUGAGUUAAGGAACCUUUUGAUUAAGUUCUCACCCGGGACCUACGUAUAUCUUUGACCUGUAACCCCUCCGUCGAGUGAGCUCGUCCUUACAUACCGAUUAGGUCCCUAUUGCCUUUGGGGGAUGACUGGUACCUCUAUGUAUCAAGAUAAGGGCACUCACCGGUGUCUGCAGGUUUUGAAGCGGUGUUCUUGUCAUUCAGCCCCUUGGAGGAGGCCCCUCAGUGGAAAGGUUUUGUUGAGAAUUUUUAUUUAUAUAAAAAAGCGAAAAGGUUUACAAAAAUUGAAUAGAAAACCAUAAAAGCAGUUAUAUCGUUCAAACCCUAAAGGUUAAAAGAGCUAGAUUCCCCGUCUUCAUGUGUGAGCAAGAAACAAGGAGUAAGCGCGCCGUGUGUUAAAACAUCUUGGUUUAUAUACUUUUUUUUACAGAAGCAAGGCACUGUUUGCGCUACCAGGUCAUCUACGGUCAUCUCUAUACAGAGAAAACAGCUUUGCAUAUCAAACAGAAACAUCUUUAUCUUGUAUUCUGGUGUUAGUACUAGUACUAGUACUAGUUUUGGUGCAGGACUCUUGGUGCACAAAGCAAAGCAUUAUGUUUUUGUAAGCAUUUUUGUUUUACACAGUAUCCGGCUAUACAACACAACCCAGAGAGUGACCCGGCAACACAACCACCGAAACCUGAGAUCUUUCUUCUAUUUCAACAUUAUAGCCAGUGGUCUGCUGAGCGUCCAGAGGCUCCAUUUUCAAAAACGUCCUAUUUUACUUGACAAGCCUACGACAAUGAGAAAUAAAAACUAGAAAAUUCCGCAGUAAUUUUAAGAGUGUGGCCUAGCCUGCCCGCAGGUUCCUGUGCAUGAAACGGCCAAGAAGGUAAAUGGUAGCCACAAAGGUUAG